Camelina sativa (false flax) is the source of this 244-nucleotide non-coding RNA. NCBI's taxonomy places the organism in Eukaryota, Viridiplantae, Streptophyta, Magnoliopsida, Brassicales, Brassicaceae. The record is from RefSeq and is a predicted model, not a curated record.
CUCAAGGGGCUGCCAAGUUUUUGUUGACUCAGGGAAUUCAAACAUUCAUGGUCCAGCGGCUAUGAUCAAGGACAUCAAUGAUAGUAUCAAACUAUCACCAGAUUGCUCAAAUUAUAAGAAGCUGCCUGAUGUAACCUUAACAAUUGCUGGAAGGAGUUUCUCAGUCAGUCGUCGUGAUUAUAUAUACAAGGUGAACAAAAAUGAGUGCUUAAGUAGAUUCGUGGAGACAAAAGAUGAAUACUGG